CCUUCGAUAGCUCAGUUGGUAGAGCGGUGGACUGUAGAAAAGCAAAUGUGUAGAAAUCCAUAGGUCGCUGGUUCAAAUCCGGCUCGAAGGA
RNAcentral lists this transfer RNA (91 nucleotides) under Megaselia scalaris. RNAcentral describes it as "tRNA-Tyr for anticodon GUA". It matches the Rfam family "tRNA". Rfam says of the family: Transfer RNA (tRNA) molecules are approximately 80 nucleotides in length. Their secondary structure includes four short double-helical elements and three loops (D, anti-codon, and T loops). The record is from Rfam by way of RNAcentral. Lineage: Eukaryota; Metazoa; Arthropoda; Insecta; Diptera; Phoridae.